This 503-nucleotide ribosomal RNA is filed under the name uncultured bacterium. RNAcentral describes it as "partial 16S ribosomal RNA". It matches the Rfam family "Bacterial small subunit ribosomal RNA", at positions 30 to 523 of the family's 1533-position model. The record is from RNAcentral.
AUUGAACGCUGGCGGCAGGCUUAACACAUGCAAGUCGAGCGGGGUGAUGGUGCUUGCACUAUCACUUAGCGGCGGACGGGUGAGUAAUGCUUAGGAAUCUGCCUAUUAGUGGGGGACAACAUCUCGAAAGGGAUGCUAAUACCGCAUACGUCCUACGGGAGAAAGCAGGGGAUCACUUGUGACCUUGUGCUAAUAGAUGAGCCUAAGUCGGAUUAGCUAGUUGGUGGGGUAAAGGCCUACCAAGGCGACGAUCUGUAGCGGGUCUGAGAGGAUGAUCCGCCACACUGGGACUGGGACACGGCCCAGACUCCUACGGGAGGCAGCAGUGGGGAAUAUUGGACAAUGGGGGGAACCCUGAUCCAGCCAUGCCGCGUGUGUGAAGAAGGCCUUAUGGUUGUAAAGCACUUUAAGCGAGGAGGAGGCUACUCUAGUUAAUACCCAAGAUGAGUGGACGUUACUCGCAGAAUAAGCACCGGCUAACUCUGUGCCAGCCGCCGCCGUAA